This 495-nucleotide ribosomal RNA is filed under the name uncultured bacterium. RNAcentral describes it as "partial 16S ribosomal RNA". It matches the Rfam family "Bacterial small subunit ribosomal RNA", at positions 28 to 507 of the family's 1533-position model. The record is from RNAcentral.
GACGAACGCUGGCGGCGUGCCUAAUACAUGCAAGUAGAACGCUGAAGGAGGAGCUUGCUUCUCUGGAUGAGUUGCGAACGGGUGAGUAACGCGUAGGUAACCUGCCUGGUAGCGGGGGAUAACUAUUGGAAACGAUAGCUAAUACCGCAUAAGAUUGACUAUUGCAUGAUAGUCAGUUAAAAGGUGCAAUUGCAUCACUACCAGAUGGACCUGCGUUGUAUUAGCUAGUUGGUGGGGUAACGGCUCACCAAGGCGACGAUACAUAGCCGACCUGAGAGGGUGAUCGGCCAAACUGGGACUGAGACACGGCCCAGACUCCUACGGGAGGCAGCAGUAGGGAAUCUUCGGCAAUGGACGGAAGUCUGACCGAGCAACGCCGCGUGAGUGCAGAAGGUUUUCGGAUCGUAAAGCUCUGUUGUAAGAGAAGAACGAGUGUGAGAGUGGAAAGUUCACACUGUGACGGUAUCUUACCAGAAAGGGACGGCUAACUACGUG